GCCGGGUGUGGUGGCUCACGCCUGUAAUCCCAGCUACUUGGGAGGCUGAGGUGGGAGCAUCGUUUGAGCACGGGAGUUCCUGAUGAGCCUGGGAAACAUAGUGAGACCCCAUCUCUA
This 117-nucleotide non-coding RNA is filed under the name Gorilla gorilla gorilla (western lowland gorilla). The record is from Rfam by way of RNAcentral. Lineage: Eukaryota; Metazoa; Chordata; Mammalia; Primates; Hominidae.